CCGCCAGAGAACUACAAGUGAAAAACUUAAAACUCAAAGGACUUGACGGUGUCCCACACCGACCUAGAGGAGCCCGUCCUAUAAUCGAUACCCCCCGCUCCACCCAACCUUUACUUGCCUUUUCAGCCUAUAUACCGCCGUCGACAGUCUACCCUGUGAAGGCAAAAUAGUAGACACAAUAACUAAGCCGCUAGUACGUCAGGUCAAGGUGUAGCAAAUGUUAAGGAAGAGAUUGGCUACAUUUUUAAACUUUAAAAAUACGAAAUGCAUCAUGAAACCUUGUAUGAAGGUGAAUUUAGUAGUAAAAU
This 308-nucleotide ribosomal RNA is filed under the name Tropidosaura gularis. Its description in RNAcentral is "partial 12S ribosomal RNA". It matches the Rfam family "Bacterial small subunit ribosomal RNA", at positions 869 to 1344 of the family's 1533-position model. Lineage: Eukaryota; Metazoa; Chordata; Lepidosauria; Squamata; Lacertidae. The record is from RNAcentral.